Molecule: unclassified non-coding RNA, 338 nt
Filed under: soil metagenome
Description: partial contains 5.8S ribosomal RNA, internal transcribed spacer 2, and large subunit ribosomal RNA
Rfam family: 5.8S ribosomal RNA (bases 1-120)
Source: RNAcentral
GAUGAAGAACGUAGCGAAAUGCGAUACGUAGUGUGAAUUGCAGAAUUCAGUGAAUCAUCGAAUCUUUGAACGCACAUUGCACCUCUCGGUAUUCCGGGAGGUAUGCCUGUUCGAGCGUCAUUUGUACCCUCAAGCUCUGCUUGGUGUUGGGUGUUUGUUCCGCCUCUGUGUGUGAACUCGCCUCAAAACAAUUGGCAGCCGGCGUACUUGUUUCGGAGCGCAGCACAUUUUGCGAUCCAGAUCAACGUACAGCGGCAUCCAAGAAGCCUUAUUUAACGCUCUUGACCUCGGAUCAGGUAGGGAUACCCGCUGAACUUAAGCAUAUCAAUAACGGAGGU